This 253-nucleotide ribosomal RNA is filed under the name uncultured bacterium. RNAcentral's name for it is "partial 16S ribosomal RNA". It matches the Rfam family "Bacterial small subunit ribosomal RNA", at positions 524 to 776 of the family's 1533-position model. The record is from RNAcentral.
UACGUAGGGGGCAAGCGUUGUCCGGAAUCAUUGGGCGUAAAGCGCGUGUAGGCGGCCCGAUAAGUCCGCUGUGAAAGUCCAGGGCUCAACCCUGGGAUGCCGGUGGAUACUGUCGGGCUCGAGUCCGGAAGAGGAGUGUGGAAUUCCUGGUGUAGCGGUGGAAUGCGCAGAUAUCAGGAGGAACACCAAUAGCGAAGGCAGCUCGCUGGGACGGUACUGACGCUGAGGUGCGAAAGCGUGGGGAGCAAACAGG